CCAACCCUGGUAGGGGACAGACUCCUAGAGAGGCCGAAUGAUGGAUGGACAGAAAUGGGGUGGAGGGGAGGGGGGGGCGCGGUGUCUCCCCUGUUAAACUCCUGUCUCUCGUUGAAAGCAGGGCGUGAAUUUCUCAAACCCACCACCUGGGUGAGCCCCAGCAGGGUGGUGGCGCUCGGGGGAAGCGUCACCAUCCGCUGUGAGGGCUGGUUCCUGGGCAUGGAGUUCUUUCUGCGUAAAGCUGGACACCCGAACCCGCAAGUGUGGACGAUGUUACCUGAUGGGACCAGGGCUGAAUUUCCCAUCCCCAGUGUCGGCCGGGAAGAUGGAGGGAGCUACACCUGCGACUAUCGCUCAAUAACGGAUCAGAGUCGCUGGUCGUAUCCCAGUGACCCCGUCGAGAUCAUUGUGGGAGAGCCCAGCUACCCCAAACCCAGCAUCUCCCUGAGCCCCAGCUGGGGGGGGUCUCCCUGGGGGGAGCCCUGAUCGUCCGGUGUCGGGGGCAGCGCCGGGGCGUGCGGUUUGUGCUGAAUAAAGAGGGACGUCAUUUCCCACCUGUGGAUUCGGACAGGUUGGAGGCUGAGUUUUUCAUCAGCAACGUGCGCCGGGAGCCCGGCGGGAGCUACAGCUGCUCCUAUCACAGCAGAUCGGAGCCGUUCAACGUGUCGUACCCCAGUGACCCCGUGGAGCUGGUGGUGAGAGAUCCCAGCUUACCCAGACCCUCCAUCUCCCUGAGCCCCACCGGGGUCACCG
Long non-coding RNA from Mauremys mutica (yellowpond turtle), 753 nucleotides. RefSeq lists it as uncharacterized. The record is from RefSeq and is a predicted model, not a curated record. Lineage: Eukaryota; Metazoa; Chordata; Testudines; Geoemydidae. The transcript is spliced from 3 exons.